Stomoxys calcitrans (stable fly) is the source of this 582-nucleotide long non-coding RNA. RefSeq lists it as uncharacterized. Lineage: Eukaryota; Metazoa; Arthropoda; Insecta; Diptera; Muscidae. The transcript has 2 exons. The record is from RefSeq and is a predicted model, not a curated record.
UAUCUCCCAUAUUCCCCUUGUUUUAUUUUUUAUGUUGUCAGUGUUUUACAAACUCGCAACUGCAAAACAACAACAAAUUAACCAAAAGAAACCCUAAUUACAACAUUACAAAGAAGUUAGCUUGAAUUUUUAUUACAAGACAAUACGAGGUAGACAAUAUGGCUAAACUGCUUACAUAAAAAAACACAUUUUCCAUCUAUACCUACUAAGUGCUAAGAGUAAAUUCGUUGUGCGUUUUGGAGAAUUGCAAAUAACAGAAAAUUGCAAAAAUCACUCAGUUUCCAGUGCGAGCUAGUGAAUGUAAAAAUUAAACAAAGUAAAAUUUAACUACUACGCAAUACCUAAAUAUUUUGAAAAUUGACAUUUCAGACAAGAUACAAAUGGUUUUUUUAUUGAACACAUUUAGAAGAAACUUUGUAUUGGUAUUAAAAUUUCUGAGAAAAUAACAUUGGAUUCUUGAAUAAAUUACAUCCAUUUAAAGGCUACCAAGUUUUCACAUCAAGGCCCAAAUUAUCUCAACUAUUUUAUUCCACUUUAUUCGAAAUUAAUUUUUUGAAUAUACAAAACAACGCCACAACCCUC